This 468-nucleotide ribosomal RNA is filed under the name uncultured bacterium. Its description in RNAcentral is "partial 16S ribosomal RNA". It matches the Rfam family "Bacterial small subunit ribosomal RNA", at positions 28 to 507 of the family's 1533-position model. The record is from RNAcentral.
GACGAACGCUGGCGGCGUGCUUAACACAUGCAAGUCGAACGGAAAGGCCCUGCUCUUGUGGGGUGCUCGAGUGGCGAACGGGUGAGUAACACGCGAGUAACCUGCCCUUGACUUUGGGAUAACUCCACGAAACUGGGGCUAAUAUCGGAUAGGAGCUCUUGCUGCACGGUGGGGGUUGGAAAGUUUCGGCGGUUGGGGCUGGACUCGCGGCUUAUCAGCUUGUUGGUGGGGUAGUUGCUUACCAAGGCUUUGACGGGUAGCCGGCCUGAGAGGGUGACCGGCCACAUUGGGACUGAGAUACGGACCAGACUCCUACGGGAGGCAGCAGUGGGGAAUAUUGCAGAAUGGGCGGAAGCCUGAUGCAGCAACGCCGCGUGCGGGAUGACGGCCUUCGGGUUGUAAACCGCUUUCGCCUGUGACGAAGCGUGAGUGACGGUAAUGGGUAAAAAAGCACCGGCUAACUACGUG